This is an RNA transcript of Nycticebus coucang (slow loris), 1163 nucleotides long. It is a transcript of the gene named actin-related protein 2-like, with no coding region annotated. The record is from RefSeq and is a predicted model, not a curated record. Lineage: Eukaryota; Metazoa; Chordata; Mammalia; Primates; Lorisidae. The transcript has a single exon.
GCAGACAAUGGACAGCCAGGGCAGGAAGGUGGUGGUGUGCGACAACAGCACCGGGUUUGUAAAUUGUGGAUAUGCAGGCUUUAACUCUCCAGAACACAUCUUCCCGGCUUUGGUUGGAAGACCUAUUAUCAGAUCAACCACCAAAGUGGGAAACAUUGAAAUCAAGGAUCUUAUGGUUGGUGAUGAGGUGAGUGAAUUACGCUCAAUGUUAGAAGUUAACUACCCUAUGGAAAAUGGCAUAGUACGAAAUUGGGAUGACAUGAAAUCUUACUCACAGAACCCCCUAUGAACCCAACCAAAAACAGAGAGAAGAUUGUAGAGGUCAUGUUUGAAACUUAUCAGUUUUCAGGUGUGUAUGUAGCCUUUCAGGCAGUUCUGACUUUGUAUACUCAAGGUUUAUUGACUGGUGUAGUGGUAGACUCUGAUUGCUUUUCUCUCCCUCACCUUACCAGGAGACUGGAUAUUGCUGGGAGGGAUAUUACCAGAUAUCUUAUCAAGCUGCUUCUGUUGACAGGAUAUGCCUUCAACCAUUCUGCUGAUUUUGAAACAGUUCGAAUGAUUAAAGAAAAAUUGUGUUAUGUGGGAUAUAAUAUUGAGCAAGAGCAGAAACUGGCCUUAGAAACCACAGUAUUAGUUGAAUCUUACACCCUCCCAGAUGGACGCAUUAUCAAAGUUGGGGGAGAGCGAUUUGAAGCCCCCCCCACCAGAAGCUUUAUUUCAGCCUCAUUUGAUCAAUGUUGAGGGAGUUGGUGUUGCUGAAUUGCUUUUUAACACAAUCCAAGCAGCUGACAUUGAUACCAGAUCUGAAUUCUUAUAAACACAUUGUGCUUUCUGGAGGGUCUACUAUGUACCCUGGCCUGCCAUUGAGGUUGGAACGAGAACUACAACAGCUCUACUUAGAACGAGUUUUAAAGGGAGAUGUGGAAAAACUUUCUUAAUUUAAGAUCCGCAUUGAAGACCCACCCCGCAGAAAGCACAUGGUAUUUCUGGGUGGUGCAGUUCUGGCAGAUAUCAUGAAGGACAAAGACAACUUCUGGAUGACCCGGCAGGAGUGCCAAGAGAAGGGUGUCCGUGUGCCGGAGAAGCUUGGUGUGACUGUUCGAUAGACUGCAAAGCUUGUCCGCAUCCUGCCCCUAACACUUUCUUUUUUCCUUUAUUGCCAA